Poecilia reticulata (guppy) is the source of this 278-nucleotide non-coding RNA. The record is from RefSeq and is a predicted model, not a curated record. NCBI's taxonomy places the organism in Eukaryota, Metazoa, Chordata, Actinopteri, Cyprinodontiformes, Poeciliidae.
CUUGUGCUCACUUGAGAAAUCAUCCAAGCUGGAUAAUACUUAUCCGAAAUAGACGGGAGCGUACUUUGCACAACAAUAAUACAUGAGCCCUGACGUUCUUCCAGGAAAUUGACAGCUUCUCUCCUCCCCCUACCAGCAACAGGAAACCAUUCAGGAAAUGUCCUAAUUCCCAUCCCACAUACAUGGAGCAAAAGGACAGUCAAGAAGAGCUGCAUAAACUGGUAGGUUGGAGCUUACCUGGUAGCAGCGCUCUGACCUCCAGGACACCAGGACCUCCG